AGUGAACGCUGGCGGUAGGCCUAACACAUGCAAGUCGAACGGCAGCACAGUAAUAGCUUGCUCUUACGGUUGGCGAGUGGCGGACGGGUGAGGAAUACAUCGGAAUCUACUUUUUCGUGGGGGAUAACGUAGGGAAACUUACGCUAAUACCGCAUACGACCUACGGGUGAAAGCAUGGGAUCUUCGGACCUUGCGCGAUUGAAUGAGCCGAUUUCGGAUUAGCUAGUUGGCGGGGUAAAGUCCCACCAAGGCGACGAUCCGUAGCUGGUCUGAGAGGAUGAUCAGACACACUGGAACUGAGACACGGUCCAGACUCCUACGGGAGGCAGCAGUGGGGAAUAUUGGACAAUGGGCGCAAGCCUGAUCCAGCCAUACCGCGUGGGUGAAGAAGGCCUUCGGGUUGUAAAGCCCUUUUGUUGGGAAAGAAAAGCAGCAGGUUAAUACCCCGCUGUUCUGACGGUACCCAAAGAAUAAGCACCGGCUAACUUCGUG
RNAcentral lists this ribosomal RNA (492 nucleotides) under uncultured bacterium. RNAcentral describes it as "partial 16S ribosomal RNA". It matches the Rfam family "Bacterial small subunit ribosomal RNA", at positions 29 to 507 of the family's 1533-position model. The record is from RNAcentral.